RNAcentral lists this transfer RNA (77 nucleotides) under Azonexus sp. RNAcentral's name for it is "tRNA-Arg". It matches the Rfam family "tRNA". Rfam says of the family: Transfer RNA (tRNA) molecules are approximately 80 nucleotides in length. Their secondary structure includes four short double-helical elements and three loops (D, anti-codon, and T loops). RNAcentral also lists the same sequence under 2 other names. The record is from RNAcentral. Lineage: Bacteria; Pseudomonadati; Pseudomonadota; Betaproteobacteria; Rhodocyclales; Azonexaceae.
CCGCCCGUAGCUCAUCUGGAUAGAGCACCGGCCUUCUAAGCCGGGGGUAGUGGGUUCGAAUCCCGCCGGGCGGACCA